Molecule: ribosomal RNA, 373 nt
Filed under: Eugauria albidentata
Lineage: Eukaryota; Metazoa; Arthropoda; Insecta; Lepidoptera; Crambidae
Description: SSU rRNA
Rfam family: Eukaryotic small subunit ribosomal RNA
Source: RNAcentral
CUUCUUAGAGGGACCGGCGGCUUCGAGCCGCACGAGAUUGAGCAAUAACAGGUCUGUGAUGCCCUUAGAUGUCCUGGGCCGCACGCGCGCUACACUGAAGGAAUCAGCAUGUUCUCCCUGGCCUAGAGGCCCGGGCAACCCGCUGAAACUCCUUCGUGCUGGGGAUUGGGGUUUGCAAUUAUCCCCCAUAAACGAGGAAUUCCUAGUAAGCGCGAGUCAUAAGCUCGCGUUGAUUACGUCCCUGCCCUUUGUACACACCGCCCGUCGCUACUACCGAUUGAAUGAUUUAGUGAGGUCUUCGGACCGACACGCGGUGGCUUCGCGGCCGUCGGCGUUGCUGGGAAGUUGACCAAACUUGAUCAUUUAGAGGAAG